GCCAGUGUGGUACAGUGGUUUGAGUGUUGGACUAUGACUUUGAAGAUCAGUGUUUGAGUCCCUGCUCAGCCA
This is a non-coding RNA of Phrynosoma platyrhinos (Desert horned lizard), 72 nucleotides long. The record is from the annotation of a GenBank genome assembly. Lineage: Eukaryota; Metazoa; Chordata; Lepidosauria; Squamata; Phrynosomatidae.